This 253-nucleotide ribosomal RNA is filed under the name uncultured bacterium. RNAcentral's name for it is "partial 16S ribosomal RNA". It matches the Rfam family "Bacterial small subunit ribosomal RNA", at positions 524 to 776 of the family's 1533-position model. The record is from RNAcentral.
UACAGAGGGUGCGAGCGUUGUCCGGAAUCACUGGGCGUAAAGGGCGCGUAGGCGGCCUGAUAAGUAGGGGGUGAAAUCCUGUGGCUUAACUGCAGGGCUGCCUCCUAGACUGUUAGGCUCGAGCACGGUAGAGGCAGAUGGAAUUCCCGGUGUAGCGGUGGAAUGCGUAGAGAUCGGGAAGAACAUCGGUGGCGAAGGCGGUCUGCUGGGCCGUUGUUGACGCUGAGGCGCGACAGCGUGGGGAGCAAACAGG